CCACGCCAGGCCCUGGAGUGCUGUGGUUACUGUGGAAACACUUUACAGUGCCUCUUCGUGGAACAGUGUGUAAAGGAAGGUUCGUAAGCAUCAAGAUGAACCGGUGGCACAGCUGAGCUUCGGGCUACAGAGCUUGAACCGUGGUUCGUCAGGGCACCUCCAGUCACACCAGCAAAGACUCCAGAGCUGCACUUCCUUGGUUCAAAUCCUGGCUCUGAACCACGCAUCCUGUUUGGACCACGUGCACUUGCUCAGGAGAGAUAAGUGCUCUGUGCCUUCCUUCCCCGUGGGGGAUGAUAGUAGAGUCACUGGAGGCAACGCUGUUCGCGACGGUGGGAGUGUGGGGAGUGCCGGGCACCUCCUAGGCGUCCUGCAGGUGUCAGCCUGCGUCUUUCCCAGAGGUGGCAGCAUCCUGGAGAGGCGGCGCGGGUCCGUGGGAAGACAGUGGCCUGGAAAGACAGUGGGCUGGGAGUCUGACGGUGCUGAGUGGAGUGAAGAGUUCUGUCCCUGCAGCCACGUGCAGCUGCCUUAUUGGUCAUUCAAGAGGACGCUUGGUAACUAUUUUAGAUACUUAUGUAUUUCGAUGUAGGCAUCUCUAGCUUAAACUGUGAAGUAGAUUAAUGUUUUUCUUUUUUUUUUUUAAUGAUUUUUUUAUUAUAUUAUGUUAGUCACCAUACAGUACAUCCCCGGUUUCCGAUGUAAGUCUUGAUGAUUCAUUAGUUGUGUAUAACACCCAGUGCACCAUGCAAUACGUGCCCUCCUUACUACCCAUCACCGGUCUAUCCCAUUCCCCCACCCCCCUCCCCUCUAAAGUCCUCAGUUUGUUUCUCAUAGUCCAUAGUCUCUCAUGUUUCAUUCCCCCUUCUGAUUACCCCCCUUUCUUUAUCCCUUUCUUCUCCUACUGAUCAUCCUAGUUCUUAUGUUCCAUAGAUGAGAGAAAUCAUAUGAUAGUUGUCUUUCUCUGCUUGACUUAUUUCACUUAGCAUUAUCUCCUCCAGUGCCGUCCAUAUUGUAGCAAAUGUUGAGAACUCGUUCUUUCUGAUAGCUGAGUAAUAUUCCAUUGUAUAUAUGGACCACAACUUCUUAAUCCAGUCAUCUGUUGAAGGGCAUCUCGGCUCCUUCCACGAUUUAGCUAUUGUGGACAUUGCUGCUAUG
This 1155-nucleotide long non-coding RNA is filed under the name Ursus maritimus (polar bear). RNAcentral describes it as "lncRNA (ENSUMAG00000003100.1)". The record is from RNAcentral. Lineage: Eukaryota; Metazoa; Chordata; Mammalia; Carnivora; Ursidae.